RNAcentral lists this ribosomal RNA (506 nucleotides) under uncultured bacterium. RNAcentral's name for it is "partial 16S ribosomal RNA". It matches the Rfam family "Bacterial small subunit ribosomal RNA", at positions 29 to 523 of the family's 1533-position model. The record is from RNAcentral.
AGUGAACGCUGGCGGUAGGCCUAACACAUGCAAGUCGAACGGCAGCACAGGAGAGCUUGCUCUCUGGGUGGCGAGUGGCGGGCGGGUGAGGAAUACAUCGGAAUCUACUCUGUCGUGGGGGAUAACGUAGGGAAACUUACGCUAAUACCGCAUACGACCUACGGGUGAAAGCAGGGGACCUUCGGGCCUUGCGCGAUUGAAUGAGCCGAUGUCGGAUUAGCUAGUUGGCGGGGUAAAGGCCCACCAAGGCGACGAUCCGUAGCUGGUCUGAGAGGAGGAUCAGCCACACUGGAACUGAGACACGGUCCAGACUCCUACGGGAGGCAGCAGUGGGGAAUAUUGGACAAUGGGCGCAAGCAUGAUCCAGCCAUACCGCGUGGGUGAAGAAGGCCUUCGGGUUGUAAAGCCCUUUUGUUGGGAAAGAAAUCCAGCUGGCUAAUACCCGGUUGGGAUGACGGUACCCAAAGAAUAAGCACCGGCUAACUUCGUGCCAGCAGCCGCGGUAA